GACGAACGCUGGCGGCGUGCCUAAUACAUGCAAGUAGAACGCACAGUUUAUACCGUAGCUUGCUACACCAUAGACUGUGAGUUGCGAACGGGUGAGUAACGCGUAGGUAACCUGCCUGGCAGCGGGGGAUAACUAUUGGAAACGAUAGCUAAUACCGCAUAAUAUUAAUUAUUGCAUGAUAAUUAAUUGAAAGGUGCAAUUGCACCACUACCAGAUGGACCUGCGUUGUAUUAGCUAGUAGGUGAGGUAACGGCUCACCUAGGCGACGAUACAUAGCCGACCUGAGAGGGUGAUCGGCCACACUGGGACUGAGACACGGCCCAGAAUCCUACGGGAGGCAGCAGUAGGGAAUCUUCGGCAAUAGACGAAAGGCUGACCGAGCAACGCCGCGUGAGUGAAGAAGGGUUUCGGAUCGUAAAGCUCUGUUGUAAGAGAAGAACGGGUGUGAGAGUGGAAAGUUCACACUGUGACGGUAUCUUACCAGAAAGGGACGGCUAACUACGUG
Molecule: ribosomal RNA, 505 nt
Filed under: uncultured bacterium
Lineage: Bacteria
Description: partial 16S ribosomal RNA
Rfam family: Bacterial small subunit ribosomal RNA
Source: RNAcentral